This 263-nucleotide ribosomal RNA is filed under the name uncultured bacterium. RNAcentral describes it as "partial 16S ribosomal RNA". It matches the Rfam family "Bacterial small subunit ribosomal RNA", at positions 793 to 1055 of the family's 1533-position model. The record is from RNAcentral.
GUCCACGCUGUAAACGAUGUGCACUAGGCGUGGGGCCCGUACGGGUUCUGUGCCGUAGCUAACGUGAUAAGUGCACCGCCUGGGGAGUAUGCUCGCAAGGGUGAAACUCAAAGGAAUUGACGGGGGCCCGCACAAGCGGUGGAGCAUGUGGUUUAAUUCGAUGGUACACGAGGAACCUUACCAGGGCUUGACAUGUGCAUGGAUGUCCAAGAGAUUGGGCAGCCCCGCAAGGGGCGUGCACACAGGUGCUGCAUGGCUGUCGU